CCGGAUUCCAUAAUAAAGCAUUUCGUUAUUGCGAGAAAUUGGUAGAUGAUGUCUUGAAGCAUUCAACAUCCUUUACUAAAGAUAUGAUAACGCGACUUCAUGCGUUAUCCAUGAGACUUUACAGACGAGAAUUUAUUGCGCCGUUAUUAGAUAUGAACGGACGCCUGCAACAAUUGUUAGAUCUACUCAAGGAAAACAACGAAACCUUAGGGCACUCGUUCUUGUCU
Molecule: long non-coding RNA, 227 nt
Organism: Dendronephthya gigantea
Lineage: Eukaryota; Metazoa; Cnidaria; Anthozoa; Malacalcyonacea; Nephtheidae
Exons: 4
Source: RefSeq, a predicted model, not a curated record